ACAAGCUCAAUUUAUCUCCACCUUAAUGUAUAAAUCUACAGAAUAGAUCAAAAUGUGUUGCAAAUAUACUACUGGUUAUUGAUGAGUAAAAGAGAUUCUUCAAAUUGAAAGAGUGUAGUAAGUUUUCUUCACAAUGUCACAUUGAUCAUGUUUCAAUUUAUUGCAAGAAACCUAACCCUAAUUGUUAGGUCUGUUGAAUCAUCAAGAACUUGUAUUAUGAGUCUGUCAUAUGGCCAUUCCAACAUGCACACUGCUCCAAUUGACAUCUGGUAAACCUGCAAAAUGCAGUUUGUACAUCAUUAGAACACUCAGAGAACGACAUGGGAAUAUUUCCUCAAAACCUUGAUAAACAAAGAAUUGCAAUCUAAAUGUGGAAAGUAAAUUUGGAAGUAUUAUAUUGUACAAGCAAGUAGAUAAAGUAGUAUAUAAAGAGCAAAAAUUGGACCUUUUCUUUUUAUCCUAAUUUUGAUGCUUAAUGGUGCAUAAUGAUUGUCAUGUUGUUUUCCAAAACAUGUUUCUUAUUGGAGUCAUUAAUCCCUUUAUGUAUUAUCCUUUUUUCUAUGAACUUGAUCUCAUUUGUGUUUCUUCAAAGUGACACCUGAAUGGCAAUCCUUAGCUUAGCUUUAAUGUCCACUGUCUUCCAGAAUGCCAUGAGUUGGCAGUACACUGACAUAUCUUUAGCUGGCAGAUAUGUGACUUUUAAGAGGGAGGGAGGGAGGGAGAUGUGUUAAAUGGAUCGAGUGCUCCAAGACACCAAAUUCACUGACUGUAGAGAGAAAAAGAAAUGUUAGGAACAACUGACUCCCUGAAAUGAUAGAGAAUUGAGCAGUGAGAUUUGGCCAUUUUGAGUAAAGAACAAGAGCUGGAUUCUGCCUGCAUCUACAGUCAAAGAGCUAGAGAAGAAAACUGAAACUGCUAGAAGAAUUCAUCAAAAAGAUAUUGUAAUCGUUCCACAUACAUAUAAGAUUAAAAAAAAAUGAGAAUGAUCACAUGGAGCAAGGAGUGGCUGGGUCAGACAAGGAAGAAGCACAGUAGCCCUGAACUCUUCAUAUAAGAUAAAGGUGCACCAUUAGAGACUUUGCAAUAGUAUAUGAUCAGAGCAAUCCUCCAUAAUGCACUCCACUUGGUUGCCACUACUAUGAUGUUUUCUUUGUUAAGCUGACCUCAGAAAUCUGCUAUUGUAAGUUGACUGAAUCUCAAACAAUUUAAGUUUAUCAGAAACAUUUCAGUGUGAUCCAUUCCACCUAGACAGCUUGUUCUUUUCAAAAGGUUAGUAGCAUCUAAAACCACAAAGCAUUGAACCCUAGAGUAGUGAGUGAAGGAUCCAACUCUGUUCUAUAUUCUGCAGAAUGCGAUGGAUUGAACAGAUCUCAUUCUUCCAUUCCCUCACACCUUGCACACUAUCUCACAGACUUGUGAACUAUGUUCCUAAAGAGAUUCCAUCAAACUAUCUAUCACAUGAAUGUAGUGAGUGCACUGAGAUAUAUGCACUUGAUGUCCAACACCUAAAGUCUGUGAGAUUGCAAAUUAUGUGUAGGGUAUCAUAUAUGGGAAAGUUAUAAGAUGUUCCUCCAAAAUCAUCCAUCCAACUUCAACUCUCUAUGUCAAUCAUUUGCUUGUUUGAUCAGAUUGAUUUAUGAUAUUUCUUAUUCAAAGUAGAAACACGGGCAGAAUGAUACAGGGUUCCUGCAAAAUCAUUCAUUCCACUUUUCUUUUAAUCUUGAUUGCUCGAUCUUUUUUGUGAUAUUUUGAGAAUUUGAGAUAGGAGUGUGAUGUAUAUUUUUUGUGAGACCUUUAUAGGUUUCCUGCACCAGAAUAGCUGCACGGAGUUUACAUUCUUUUUUCAGAGAAAAAUCAUAGUUUUCCAAUAUAUUAUUCCCCUUCAUAACUUUCCUAUGAAGGAUACACUCUACAUAGAACUUACAUUCCUUUCUUGUCAGAGGAUUUCUAAUACAUUUCAUCCAUCUAUUACGAUCUAUCUAUGCAAAACGAGCUGUUCCAGAUUAAGUUACCUCCCUCUCAUUGAACAUGGGGAUUUGGACGAGGACCAGAGGAUAGGCCAGAGAGCCGAGCUCGACAUCCUGCGACAAUGGCGCCCACUUGUAGAUCCUUUCCGGCGUGCGCCCGAAGACCUUCACGUAGAGGGCGACAAGGGCCAUCGACAGCUUCUCAACUACCAGCAUCACCGACAUGGCCAAGCACACGACGACUGCCGCCUUCAUCGACGGCACCACCACCGCCGCCCUCACUGCGGCCCACGCCGUCGCAGCUCUGUUCAACACUUCCGCGGUCGCCAAGGCCGACAGCAGAUCGCAGGCUUGGUCGAUGUAGAUGGCCACGGUGGUGGAGACAUUGCCUGCAGUGCAAACACCAGUGUAAGCAUCGAGGGAGACGUACGUUAACAUGAGCUGUGGAAAGUGCUGCGUGGAGGUGAGCACCUUCCAUGCUCCUGACCACCUCUUCUCUCUCUCUCUCUCUCUACUGUACCAAGUCUUGGGGGGAGAGAUAACACAGAGGAGAAGGACAAGGACAACACAGCAUGCAUAUAUGGGGUUUACACGGCACUCCGUGGGAGUUGGUGGCAAUCAUAAAAGAGUUGGUUGAUCAUACAAAUCAGAAAUUACAUCAACUUUCCAUGCUCUACUACUGAAUUAUAUGUAUUGUCUAUGUGCUUUAAUCGUCACUUUUUCUCUCUCAUCCAAUUUCACAGAUGUUCUCUCUCUUUUGAUGAACUUCUGUAUUAUCAAGUCAAAAAUAACAUUACUAGUGUUCU
Musa acuminata AAA Group (dessert banana) is the source of this 2773-nucleotide long non-coding RNA. RefSeq lists it as uncharacterized. The transcript is spliced from 3 exons. Lineage: Eukaryota; Viridiplantae; Streptophyta; Magnoliopsida; Zingiberales; Musaceae. The record is from RefSeq and is a predicted model, not a curated record.